RNAcentral lists this ribosomal RNA (774 nucleotides) under uncultured Neocallimastigales. RNAcentral's name for it is "partial large subunit ribosomal RNA". It matches the Rfam family "Eukaryotic large subunit ribosomal RNA", at positions 16 to 616 of the family's 3401-position model. Lineage: Eukaryota; Fungi; Neocallimastigomycota; Neocallimastigomycetes; Neocallimastigales. The record is from RNAcentral.
UACUAGAGUAGCACUUGCAUAUCAAUAAGCGGAGGAAAAGAAACUAACAAGGAUUCCCCUAGUAACGGCGAGUGAAGCGGGAAGAGCUCAAAUUUGAAAUCUUAAAGGGUUUCCCUUUACGAAUUGUAGUUUAAAGAAGUGUUUUCUGUUGAGGUUUUGGUAAAAGUUCUUUGGAAUAGGACAUCAUAGAGGGUGAGAAUCCCGUAUUUGACCUUUACUUUCAACUUUGUGAUACACUUUCAAAGAGUCGGAUUGUUUGGGAAUGCAGUCCAAAAUGGGUGGUAAAUUUCAUCUAAAGCUAAAUAUUGGCGAGAGACCGAUAGCGAACAAGUACCGUGAGGGAAAGAUGAAAAGAACUUUGAAAAGAGAGUUAAACAGUACGUGAAAUUGUCAAAAGGGAAGCGUUUGACACCAGUGUUGUUUUUCUGAAAAUCAAUUAAAGAACUGUUUAUGCUAAGCUGUUUAGACUUUAUCAGCUAUCUGUUUAGUUUUGAGCUUUUCUUCAAUGCACUUUUCAGUUAACAAGUCAACAUCAAUUUCUUUUGCUGUAAAAAAGCUUGAGGAAGGUGGCUUGAGAUUCGUCUUAAGUGUUUAUAGCCUCUUGCCUAUGCAGUCGGAGAGAUUGAGGUCUGCAGCGUAGAUCCUUCGGGGCUAAAUGCAUUUGUGCUAAGUUAUAGCAUUUUAUAGACAACUUGUUGACUAUGAUUUGUCUUGUAGCUUACUCGCUUAUGUUAUUUUACCUACGCUUAGGAUGUUGAGCGCAUGUCUCUCUCU